GAUCGUACUUUCUGGAACGAGUUAGGUCAGUUCGGCUGGAUCGGUGACAGGUGCUGCAUGGCUGUCGUCAGCUCGUGUCGUGAGAUGUUGGGUUAAGUCCCGCAACGAGCGCAACCCUUGUCCUUAGUUGCCAGCAUUAAGUUGGGCACUCUAAGGAGACUGCCGGUGUUAAACCGGAGGAAGGUGGGGAUGACGUCAAGUCCUCAUGGCCCUUAUGUCCAGGGCUACACACGUGCUACAAUGGCCGGUACAAAGGGCUGCAAUACCGCAAGGUGGAGCGAACCCCAAAAAACCGGUCUCAGUUCGGAUUGGAGUCUGCAACUCGACUCCAUGAAGUUGGAAUCGCUAGUAAUCGCGUAUCAGCAUGACGCGGUGAAUACGUUCCCGGGCCUU
Molecule: ribosomal RNA, 393 nt
Filed under: uncultured Pelobacter sp.
Lineage: Bacteria; Pseudomonadati; Thermodesulfobacteriota; Desulfuromonadia; Desulfuromonadales; Desulfuromonadaceae
Description: bacterial SSU rRNA
Rfam family: Bacterial small subunit ribosomal RNA
Source: RNAcentral